Molecule: ribosomal RNA, 453 nt
Filed under: Streptomyces sp. HVYN-8-2
Lineage: Bacteria; Bacillati; Actinomycetota; Actinomycetes; Kitasatosporales; Streptomycetaceae
Description: bacterial SSU rRNA
Rfam family: Bacterial small subunit ribosomal RNA
Source: RNAcentral
CAAGUCGAGCGAUGAAACCCUUCGGGGUGGAUUAGUGGCGAACGGGUGAGUAACACGUGGGCAAUCUGCCCUGCACUCUGGGACAAGCCCUGGAAACGGGGUCUAAUACCGGAUACUGAUCGCCUUGGGCAUCCUUGGUGAUCGAAAGCUCCGGCGGUGCAGGAUGAGCCCGCGGCCUAUCAGCUUGUUGGUGAGGUAAUGGCUCACCAAGGCGACGACCGGUAGCCGGCCUGAGAGGGCGACCGGCCACACUGGGACUGAGACACGGCCCAGACUCCUACGGGAGGCAGCAGUGGGGAAUAUUGCACAAUGGGCGAAAGCCUGAUGCACCGACGCCGCGUGAGGGAUGACGGCCUUCGGGUUGUAAACCUCUUUCACCAGGGAAUAAGCGAAAGUGACGGUACCUGCAGAAGAAGCGCCGGCUAACUACUUGCCAGCAGCCGGGGUAAUUCA